UGCUUAAAGGCGCAUCUUGGCGGGCGGGAAACUGCUCGCCAGGAAAUGCACGCCGGUAACGGGAACGCGGUGCGAGCGGAUAUCCGCUCAAUUCCGGGGCUGUCCCUGCAACUGUAAGCGGCGAGCGUUCGGCUUCUAGUGCCUCCUUUUGGGAAGGCGCGGCCACUGGGCUUCACGCCCGGGAAGGCGAAACCGGCGCGAUGACCCGCAAGCCAGGAGACCGACCGCGCGUGUGUCGCUCUU
This 243-nucleotide non-coding RNA is filed under the name Erythrobacter sp. Lineage: Bacteria; Pseudomonadati; Pseudomonadota; Alphaproteobacteria; Sphingomonadales; Erythrobacteraceae. The record is from RNAcentral.